RNAcentral lists this ribosomal RNA (472 nucleotides) under uncultured bacterium. RNAcentral describes it as "partial 16S ribosomal RNA". It matches the Rfam family "Bacterial small subunit ribosomal RNA", at positions 28 to 507 of the family's 1533-position model. The record is from RNAcentral.
GACGAACGCUGGCGGCGUGCUUAACACAUGCAAGUCGAACGCUGAAGCUUGGUGCUUGCACUGGGUGGAUGAGUGGCGAACGGGUGAGUAAUACGUGAGUAACCUGCCCUUGACUCUGGGAUAAGCCUGGGAAACUGGGUCUAAUACUGGAUACGACAUGUCACCGCAUGGUGGUGUGUGGAAAGGGUUUUACUGGUUUUGGAUGGGCUCACGGCCUAUCAGCUUGUUGGUGGGGUAAUGGCUCACCAAGGCGACGACGGGUAGCCGGCCUGAGAGGGUGACCGGCCACACUGGGACUGAGACACGGCCCAGACUCCUACGGGAGGCAGCAGUGGGGAAUAUUGCACAAUGGGCGGAAGCCUGAUGCAGCGACGCCGCGUGAGGGAUGACGGCCUUCGGGUUGUAAACCUCUUUCAGCACGGAAGAAGCGAAAUUGACGGUACGUGCAGAAGAAGCGCCGGCUAACUACGUG